This 258-nucleotide long non-coding RNA is filed under the name Elaeis guineensis (African oil palm). Its description in RNAcentral is "long non-coding RNA (EGUI_LNC050263)". Lineage: Eukaryota; Viridiplantae; Streptophyta; Magnoliopsida; Arecales; Arecaceae. The record is from RNAcentral.
GAUCGAAGAGUCCCAAACCAGUGGGACUCUUAACCCCGGUACCCAAAAUGUGUGGGACUCGUGAUCAGAGAAUUUUGAUUCUCGAUCACAGAGUCCCAGAUAUGUAGGACUCAUAGUCCACGAGCAUUAGGACUCUUCAUCAGCCAUCAGAUCAGAUAGGAACCUCUAAUGUGUGUGACCCCGCAGGUUCGAACCUAAACCGGUAGCACAGGAACCAAUUCCUGUACUAAUCAAAGUGACCAUCUAGCAAUGGUACCC